Molecule: ribosomal RNA, 314 nt
Filed under: uncultured bacterium
Lineage: Bacteria
Description: partial 16S ribosomal RNA
Rfam family: Bacterial small subunit ribosomal RNA
Source: RNAcentral
UUAUAAGAGACAGCAGCCGCCGCGGUAAUACAGAGGGUGCGAGCGUUAAUCGGAUUUACUGGGCGUAAAGCGUGCGUAGGCGGCUUCUUAAGUCGGAUGUGAAAUCCCUGAGCUUAACUUAGGAAUUGCAUUCGAUACUGGGAAGCUAGAGUAUGGGAGAGGAUGGUAGAAUUCCAGGUGUAGCGGUGAAAUGCGUAGAGAUCUGGAGGAAUACCGAUGGCGAAGGCAGCCAUCUGGCCUAAUACUGACGCUGAGGUACGAAAGCAUGGGGAGCAAACAGGAUUAGAUACCCCCGUAGUCCCUGUCUCUUAUAC